RNAcentral lists this ribosomal RNA (253 nucleotides) under uncultured bacterium. RNAcentral's name for it is "partial 16S ribosomal RNA". It matches the Rfam family "Bacterial small subunit ribosomal RNA", at positions 524 to 776 of the family's 1533-position model. The record is from RNAcentral.
GACGAACCGUGCAAACGUUAUUCGGAAUCACUGGGCAUAAAGGGCGCGUAGGCGGUUCCACAAGUCAGGGGUGAAAUCCGGCAGCUUAACUGUCGCAGUGCCUUUGAUACUGAGGAGCUCGAGGGAGGUAGGGGUGUGUGGAACUUCCGGUGGAGCGGUGAAAUGCGUUGAUAUCGGAAGGAACGCCGGUGGCGAAAGCGACGCACUGGACCUCUUCUGACGCUGAGGCGCGAAAGCCAGGGGAGCAAACGGG